UAUAUGCAAAAGAUCAAUUUAGUAUAUAAUAAGUAGAGAUUUCCACAGUUUGCAUACUUACUUCCUACAUAGGGAGUAUGUGCGCAGUGACUCCUAUUGUUGAUUUAACAAUUGACACUCUUAUUUAAGACGUCAGUAAUCACCCAAGGCUCUUGUCAUGAGCUGCCAAGGUUAAGGAAGCCUCUGAGAUCACAAACUCCAACCUUAUUUAGACAAGGCCAUAUUCAAAGUGGAAGUUCUCUCCUCCCUUCAGAGAAAGUACCUCCUUCUUGGAUGGCCCGUUCUUUCCACUGGGAUCUCACUCAGAGAUCUUUCAUUUAGGUCAUUUUUUGUCACAGUGUUUCGGCUUUCCAUGCCUGAGAAACUCUCAUGGGCUUUUUUUCUGCUGCUGUUUUAAACAUUUUAAAUUUAUUAACUGAAUUCAUUUUUACAGGAACUUUCGGGGGUGGCACAGAAGACCAUAUCUAUGGCCUGCUGUGCUCUGCUGCCCGGGCCUAUGCCUUCACACCUUGCAGCUCUGAGCCUUGGCUGCCAGCUCUUCUCAGAGGUGUUCUCAUCGUGGAAGAACCAUCCAUUCCUCUCUCUCAGGCUUUCAUGCAGGGGAGAUUAGCAAGAUCUAGGCUACAGGGAAGGUAGCUGGAUGUGAUUUCAGGUCUUCUGCUGAGGGCAGGCCAGCUCUCCGGCUGUUUAUCUGCCACCUCCUGAAGAAGAGAACUGUGGACUCUGUUCCGUGCACCAUGUUUCAUGACGAAGCAUUCUGUUCUUCUGCUGACAGCAUCACCACGCUCAUCUUCUGUGAGCACUGAGUGCCGCCACCACUGACUCAUCCUGGGGGUUCUUGCUCAUCUUCAGUUAAGUUCUUUAUGCACAUGCUAUAACUAAGAGAUGUACAGAGGCGAAAUUCUCUCUGUGUUUGUGAAGUUCCCUCCCCUCCAGCAGUCUGUCUUCCAAAGUUUGCUUCCGUUUCUCCAGCCUCUGAUGUCUUUCAUUAUAAUUCAGAUAAUUAGGGCCAGUGUUGUGGCAUAGCAAGUAACUCCACCUCCUUCAAUGCUGGCAUUCCAUCUGGGCACUGGUUGGUGUCCUGGCUGCUCCACUUCCAAUCUAGAUCCUUGCUAAUGAGCUAGGAAAAACAGUGGAUGAUGGUCCAAGUUUUUGGACCCCUGUUAUCCACAUGGGAGACCCUGAUGAAGCUCCUGGUUCCUGACUUCAGAAUGGCCCAUUGCUAGCUGUUUUAGCCAUUUGGGGAGUUAACCAGCAGAUGGAAGAUAUCUCUUGCUCUCUGUAUCUGUUUCUCCCUCUAUGUUAUUCCACCUUUCAAAUA
Molecule: long non-coding RNA, 1321 nt
Filed under: Oryctolagus cuniculus (rabbit)
Lineage: Eukaryota; Metazoa; Chordata; Mammalia; Lagomorpha; Leporidae
Description: lncRNA (ENSOCUG00000039442.1)
Source: RNAcentral